CCCUUAGAUGUCCGGGGCCGCACGCGCGCUACACUGAAGGAAUCAGCGUGGCUUUCUCCCUGACCCGAAAGGGUUGGGAAACCCGUUGAAUCUCCUUCGUGAUAGGGAUUGGGGCUUGAAAUUGUUCCCCAUGAACGAGGAAUUCCCAGUAAGCGCGAGUCAUAAGCUCGCGUUGAUUACGUCCCUGCCCUUUGUACACACCGCCCGUCGCUACUCCCGAUUGAACGGUUUAGUGAGGGCCUCGGAUUGGUCUCGGCCCGCUCUUUACCGGGCGGCGCCGUUGGUCGAGAAGACGCUCGAACUUGAUCGUUUAGAGGAAGUAAAAGUCGUAACA
This 334-nucleotide ribosomal RNA is filed under the name uncultured eukaryote. Its description in RNAcentral is "partial 18S ribosomal RNA". It matches the Rfam family "Eukaryotic small subunit ribosomal RNA", at positions 1470 to 1796 of the family's 1831-position model. The record is from RNAcentral.